UGCUAGGAUUACAGGUGUGGGCUACCACACCCGGCCUAUCAGAACUUAUUAACAUUAGUGUCACUAAAGUUGGUAUUCAACCCCCCACUGCUAAAUUUGACUGGCUUUUA
This 110-nucleotide small RNA is filed under the name Microcebus murinus (gray mouse lemur). RNAcentral describes it as "Y RNA (ENSMICG00000047815.1)". The record is from RNAcentral. Lineage: Eukaryota; Metazoa; Chordata; Mammalia; Primates; Cheirogaleidae.